GCUCCAAUAGUCUAGCCCGGUCAAGGACGCUGGCCUUUCAAGCCGGUAACCCGGGUUCGAAUCCCGGUUGGAGCA
This 75-nucleotide transfer RNA is filed under the name Microcaldota archaeon. RNAcentral describes it as "tRNA-Glu". It matches the Rfam family "tRNA". Rfam says of the family: Transfer RNA (tRNA) molecules are approximately 80 nucleotides in length. Their secondary structure includes four short double-helical elements and three loops (D, anti-codon, and T loops). The record is from RNAcentral. Lineage: Archaea; Nanobdellati; Microcaldota.